UAGGAUUCUUCACUGGUUUUGUUGGCUUGAUAGGCUCCAUAUUACUACUACAGUCUUGGAGAGAUACCUACUCCAAAUUCUUGAAUGCUCUAAUAUUGAGAAUCUUCAAGUGCUGGAAGCAGUGAAUCUACCUGGCCAGUUUCUCUAAAGUUGAUAAUGGCAGGUACUUUUUUGUAUAGAUACUUUAUUAUUAUUACUCACUGUUUAUGAUUUUUCACGGCUAUCUUUUUUUUUUGGCCUCGUAUGGAGUUUAUUCAUUCGAAAAUGCACUUCUAAGUACUAAAUGUUUUUCUUUUGCAGGAUAUCCUAUUCCUACUAGAUGUGAUUGGUUAGCAGUGUGGCGUUCUCUUCCUUGACUGUUCUAUUAUGUGUAUGAUAGUAUGAAUAAAUGAGAUUCUGUUAAGACUUUAGUGUGUGUGUGUGUGUGUGUUAUGAUUUCAAGUUUGGCAGUGUUUGUAUGCAAGUGUUAUGGCUUCUGCAAUCAAGUUAGUAAUGUAAUACCUUUACCAUGAUUGUUCCAUUGGAUGAAGAAGCAAGAUGAUUAUGAGAAACGUAUAUGCAUAUCAUGUAAUUGAAGCUUCAUAUGGUUCAUUCUAACAAAUCUUGCAAAGAUUAUGCCUUAAUUCAGCUUUAAAUAUAAAAAAUAAUUAUGAAAACAAUAGCAGAAAAGUAAUGUUAAAGAGGCUGUAGAGCAUAUUAUCUACCAAAUUUAAUCAAACACACUGUAUUUUAUUUGAAACAUCCCAAUACAUGUAUUGAAUAAUCAAUUAUGGAA
RNAcentral lists this long non-coding RNA (775 nucleotides) under Trifolium pratense (red clover). RNAcentral's name for it is "long non-coding RNA (TPRA_LNC012199)". Lineage: Eukaryota; Viridiplantae; Streptophyta; Magnoliopsida; Fabales; Fabaceae. The record is from RNAcentral.